RNAcentral lists this ribosomal RNA (388 nucleotides) under uncultured microorganism. Its description in RNAcentral is "bacterial SSU rRNA". It matches the Rfam family "Archaeal small subunit ribosomal RNA", at positions 330 to 675 of the family's 1478-position model. The record is from RNAcentral.
GUGCAGCAGGCGAGAAACCUUCGCAAUGCAGGAAACUGCGACGAGGGAACUCCAAGUGCCUACGCUCAGCGUAGGCUGUUCUCAAGCCUAGAAAGCUUGAGGAGUAAGGGCUGGGUAAGACGGGUGCCAUCUGUGGUAGCAGUCAAUAGAUUCGAUUUGUUACUGCAAGGCAUAAGCCGCCGCGGUAAUACCCGCAGCCCAAGUGGUGGCCGCUUUUAUUGGGCCUAAAGCGUCCGUAGCCGGCCCGGUAAAUGCCUGGGGUAAAUCGUGGAGCCCAACUUCACGAAUUCCGGGUAGACUGCCGAGCUCGGGACCGGAAGAGGGAGAGGGGUACUUCAGGGGUAGGGGUGAAAAUUUCCUUUCCAUUAACGGCUUUUGCGCGAAGCGG